This 468-nucleotide ribosomal RNA is filed under the name uncultured bacterium. RNAcentral's name for it is "partial 16S ribosomal RNA". It matches the Rfam family "Bacterial small subunit ribosomal RNA", at positions 28 to 507 of the family's 1533-position model. The record is from RNAcentral.
GACGAACGCUGGCGGCGUGCUUAACACAUGCAAGUCGAACGGAAAGGCCCUGCUUUUGUGGGGUGCUCGAGUGGCGAACGGGUGAGUAACACGUGAGUAACCUGCCCUUGACUUUGGGAUAACUUCAGGAAACUGGGGCUAAUACCGGAUAAGAGCUCCUGCUGCAUGGUGGGGGUUGGAAAGUUUCGGCGGUUGGGGAUGGACUCGCGGCUUAUCCGCUUGUUGGUGGGGUAGUGGCUUACCAAGGCUUUGACGGGUAGCCGGCCUGAGAGGGUGACCGGCCACAUUGGGACUGAGAUACGGCCCAGACUCCUACGGGAGGCAGCAGUGGGGAAUAUUGCACAAUGGGCGGAAGCCUGAUGCAGCAACGCCGCGUGCGGGAUGACGGCCUUCGGGUUGUAAACCGCUUUCGCCUGUGACGAAGCGUGAGUGACGGUAAUGGGUAAAGAAGCACCGGCUAACUACGUG